This 72-nucleotide transfer RNA is filed under the name Quintana atrizona. RNAcentral describes it as "tRNA-Val". Lineage: Eukaryota; Metazoa; Chordata; Actinopteri; Cyprinodontiformes; Poeciliidae. The record is from RNAcentral.
CAGAACGUAGCUAAAACAGAAAAGCACCUCCCUUACACCGAGAAGCCGCCUGUGCAAAUCGGGCCGUCCCUG